CGGGACGGGUGAGUAAUGUCUGGGAAACUGCCUGAUGGAGGGGGAUAACUACUGGAAACGGUAGCUAAUACCGCAUAACGUCGCAAGACCAAAGAGGGGGACCUUCGGGCCUCUUGCCAUCGGAUGUGCCCAGAUGGGAUUAGCUAGUAGGUGGGGCAAAGGCUCACCUAGGCGACGAUCCCUAGCUGGUCUGAGAGGAUGACCAGCCACACUGGAACUGAGACACGGUCCAG
Molecule: ribosomal RNA, 233 nt
Filed under: uncultured bacterium
Lineage: Bacteria
Description: partial 16S ribosomal RNA
Rfam family: Bacterial small subunit ribosomal RNA
Source: RNAcentral